Molecule: long non-coding RNA, 930 nt
Filed under: Olea europaea subsp. europaea
Lineage: Eukaryota; Viridiplantae; Streptophyta; Magnoliopsida; Lamiales; Oleaceae
Source: RNAcentral
UCAUGAUCGAUGUCCAUGACACUUGACUUUUGAGUUAUGCUAGGUUCUGCAACUAUCUUGAUGUGUGGCUUUAUCAGCUCUGGAUAUCUUCAGGAUUUUACAACUUACGAACUAUCUCGGGAGGUCAUGUACUUUCAGGCAGUAUAAGCUCAUCUUCUCGUCCUUUCUUUCGAAAGACUCCUCGAUUUGCCCGACCACUAGUUUUGAGUCACUGAAAACUUUGACAUGCUCUAACUCAAGAUUUUUUGCCAGUUCCAAGGCUAUGAUAACGGCUUCAUAUUCUGUUUUGUUGUUGGUGGCCUUGAAUUUAAAUUUGAGCGCACAUUGUAUUUCUGUAGCCUUGUCCGAGCUAGUGAUGAUGACGCCGGCCCCCGAGCCCGAGCUAUUGAAUGCUCCAUCCACAAAGAUUUCCCAUAAUUUCCAGGUCGUGCUCGGGUCUUUAGCUUGUGUUUCUGAGGGCCUUGUAGUGAGCUCUGCUAUGAAGUCAGCCAAAGCUUGAGCCUUGAUUGCAGGUCGUGGCUUAAAGUCUAUGUCAAAUUCGCCAAGUUCAAUUGCCCAUUUCAACAGUCUUUCUGAGACGUCCGGCUUCUGGAGUAUGUGUCUAAGUGGUUGGUUAGUGAGCACAACAAUUGGAUGUGACUGAAAGUAUGGCCGUAAUUUUCUGGCAGCUAUUACCAAAGCUAGGGCAAGCUAUUCUACAAGUGUGUAUCGUGUCUCUACAUCAAGGAGUAUUUUACUUACAUAAUAGACUCCUUUACCAAGACCCUACUUACUGCAUUAUGAGAAACAGCCAAGUAUAAUAGCAACGUGUCACCGGAUUCGGGUUUGGUAAGAACUGGAGGUGUUGAUAACGUCUGCUUGAGCUCUUGAAAAGCUAAGUUGCAUUCCCCAUUCCAGUCAAAGCUUUUAUUUUCCCUAAGUAGUCUGAAA